AACUAGCAUAUACACUUGUACCCUAGUCCUUCUGCACAUGUCAGUACCUUGAGUUAGUGUGGAAAUACUAAGUCGCUUAUCAGUAUCAUUUUACAAAAAAAAUUUCUUUUUUCGGUUUUUUGCUAAGCUUAUACAUGUAGAUUGAGCGAUUCAACAUUGUGACUCCCACUUUUACUGCAAUUUUUAUUUUAUUUUUUUUGCAUUAUUAUCUAUUUUAAAGAAAAUUAUCAGUAAUGAGUCAUGAUUUAGGUCAAUCAGGCAAUUUUUCUGCUAACUGCUGGUAAGACCGGUAAGAGUACUGGGACCAUACACAAGAGCUUUGGCAAGCCUUGUUUGCGAACUCUGCUGACCGACGGGAUACUACCAGGAAGCAGACUUCAAACAUAAGCAUAAUGGGUUGCUGCGGACUAGCAAUGCUGGACACUGCAAUGGAGAAGCUAAGCUUGCUGAAGAAGCCUUAACGGUGUUCAAAAAAAAUGGGGGAGUUUAAAUAUCGACCGGAAAGGCUACUUAUAAUGGUGUUAUUUUGAUUUUUUGUGAGAAAGAGGAAAUGGAUUUGGCUAGUGAGUUUAAUGAAAGAAUGAGUGUCAAUGUGUAAAUCGUAAGAAUGUGUUAACUUAUACUUAUACUUCGAUGAUUAAGGGGUAUUGUAAUUUGUAAUGCAGAUCAGUUAAAAAAAUGCGCGUCAAUUGUUUAAGGUUAUGAAAAGUCAUGAAUGUUACCUGAAUGUCGUUGCUUAUGCUGCAUUGCUGGAUGCGGUUUGUUAGACUGGGGAUUUCGACAGAGCAUUGGAGUUGCUAGGUGAGAUGGAAAAUGAAGGUAAAGAUUUCGGGCCUAAUGUCAUUACAUACACUUCUGUGAUACAGAGUUUUUGUGAGCAAAGUAGGGCAAGUGAGGCGGUCAGACUUUCUGAACGAAUGGGUAGCCAAGGUUGUCCUGCAUAUCGUAUUACAGUUAGUACUUUGAUCAAAUGUCUAUGCAAUGACGGCCUUAUAGACUUGCUUAUAAGCUGAUUGACAAAGUGGGUGCAGAUGGAAGCGUUACACUUGAAGGGUGUUACAGUUAUCUACCUCUGGCUUUAUUGCAAAUUACGAAUAUGAAAGAAGCAGAGAAACUCUUCAAGCAGACGCUGGCAAGUGGAAUCAGGCCAGUCGGGUUGGCAUACAUUUCUUUUAUUAAGCAACUUUGUUUACAGUAAAGGUUCUUGAAGCAUUGGACUGGUACAGUGAGAUGCAAAAGAAAGAUUUCCUCAACACAUGUUGAUUCAGAUAUUUAUUCGAUUCUUUUGAUUGAGUUUUUCAAAAAGGUAAUAUAGCUGCAAAUGUAGUUAAUGUAAUGGUUGAGAAAAGGAUCCAGUUUAAAGCUCCUUAUCUUGAUAAUGUAGCUGUGCUCCUCAGUAGAAUUGGUGAAAAGGAGCUUGCUCAGCGUUUGAUGAGUUUGAAGUGAAACCGAUGUGGAGCUUUAUGAAGUCUUUUGUAGUCCGAUACAUAUUUUCUUCUUCA
This is a long non-coding RNA of Papaver somniferum (opium poppy), 1502 nucleotides long. RefSeq lists it as uncharacterized. NCBI's taxonomy places the organism in Eukaryota, Viridiplantae, Streptophyta, Magnoliopsida, Ranunculales, Papaveraceae. The record is from RefSeq and is a predicted model, not a curated record. The transcript is spliced from 2 exons.